This 709-nucleotide ribosomal RNA is filed under the name uncultured bacterium. Its description in RNAcentral is "bacterial SSU rRNA". It matches the Rfam family "Bacterial small subunit ribosomal RNA", at positions 105 to 801 of the family's 1533-position model. The record is from RNAcentral.
GGUGAGUAACGCGUAGGUAACCUGCCUUGUAGCGGGGGAUAACUAUUGGAAACGAUAGCUAAUACCGCAUAACAAUGGAUGACACAUGUCAUUUAUUUGAAAGGGGCAAUUGCUCCACUACAAGAUGGACCUGCGUUGUAUUAGCUAGUAGGUGAGGUAACGGCUCACCUAGGCGACGAUACAUAGCCGACCUGAGAGGGUGAUCGGCCACACUGGGACUGAGACACGGCCCAGACUCCUACGGGAGGCAGCAGUAGGGAAUCUUCGGCAAUGGGGGCAACCCUGACCGAGCAACGCCGCGUGAGUGAAGAAGGUUUUCGGAUCGUAAAGCUCUGUUGNAAGUUNNANAACGAGUGUGAGAGUGGAAAGUUCACACUGUGACGGUAGCUUACCAAAAAGGGACGGCUAACUACGUGCCANCAGCCGCGGUAAUACGUAAGUCCCGAGCGUUGUCCGGAUUUAUUGGGCGUAAAGCGAGCGCAGGCGGUUUGAUAANUCUGAANUUAAAGGCUGUGGCUCAACCAUAGUUCGCUUUGGAAACUGUCAAACUUGAGUGCAGAAGGGGAGAGUGGAAUUCCAUGUGUAGCGGUGAAAUGCGUANAUAUAUGGAGGAACACCGGUGGCGAAAGCGGCUCUCUGGUCUGUAACUGACGCUGANGCUCGAAAGCGUGGGGAGCGAACAGGAUUANAUACCCUGGUAGUCCACGCC